GACGAACGCUGGCGGCGUGCUUAACACAUGCAAGUCGAACGGGAUGUAGUAAACAGUAACCUCGGUGGAAGAUUACUAAUGAGAGUGGCGAACGGGGGAGUAACGCGUGAGCAACCUGCCUAUGACAGUGGGAUAGCCUCGGGAAACCGGGAUUAAUACCGCAUAAAAUCGUAGAAACACAUGUUUUAACGGUCAAAGAUCUAUCGGUUAUAGAUGGGCUCGCGUCUGAUUAGCUAGUUGGUGAGAUAACAGCCCACCAAGGCGACGAUCAGUAGCCGGUCUGAGAGGAUGAACGGCCACAUUGGAACUGAGCCACGGUCCAAACUCCUACGGGAGGCAGCAGUGGGGAAUAUUGCACAAUGGGGGAAACCCUGAUGCAGCGACGCCGCGUGAACGAAGAAGGUAUUCGUAUCGUAAAGUUCUGUCCUAUGGGAAGAUAAUGACAGUACCAUAGAAGAAAGCUCCGGCUAAAUACGUG
RNAcentral lists this ribosomal RNA (478 nucleotides) under uncultured bacterium. RNAcentral's name for it is "partial 16S ribosomal RNA". It matches the Rfam family "Bacterial small subunit ribosomal RNA", at positions 28 to 507 of the family's 1533-position model. The record is from RNAcentral.